RNAcentral lists this long non-coding RNA (210 nucleotides) under Prunus persica (peach). RNAcentral describes it as "long non-coding RNA (PPER_LNC006074)". Lineage: Eukaryota; Viridiplantae; Streptophyta; Magnoliopsida; Rosales; Rosaceae. The record is from RNAcentral.
UGGGCAUCAAAACUGAAAUACCAAAACCAUCCCGGAACCGUGCCAAUCUAGUGUCGUCCCGUUUGGUGUUGGCGUGUAAACGGGAUGAUACCGUGUCAUCUCAUUACUGUUUGGAAUGACAUCGGUUCCACAUUUGUGAUCCCAGUUGGUGUCAUACCGUACCGAACAGUAAAUUAGUUUUAUUAAUCCUGAUUUAAUUUUAGUUCCACC